Molecule: RNA transcript, 1272 nt
Organism: Venturia canescens
Lineage: Eukaryota; Metazoa; Arthropoda; Insecta; Hymenoptera; Ichneumonidae
Gene: Bmcp
Gene name: uncoupling protein Bmcp mitochondrial
Exons: 6
Source: RefSeq, a predicted model, not a curated record
UAUACACGCGUUAUUUUUCCCCGCGUUUAUCGGUUAUUUCGUCAGAAAAACGCACGAUCGUUACGAUAAAAGAAAAAAAAGUUUGUUAAACAAAGUGUUUGGAGUGGAAAAAAGAUAUUGGGGAUUUUUCGUUGACUCCAAAUGUCCGUAUUGUAUAUCUCAAAAAGAGUGACAUUCUUUUAGAGCGCUGAAUUUCGACCUAGUAUCUUGUCAAAACUAACCUGUUAAUCGUAUACUAGAUUUUCAUUUUUUCAAAUUGAAAAACAACGAGCAGUAGAGCGCAGAUGGUAAUGGGAGAUAAAAACUCGAUGGAUUGGUGUCCUUUUGUUUACGGGGGACUAGCUUCGAUAGUUGCAGAAUUAGGUACAUUCCCCCUAGAUACGACUAAGACUCGUCUACAAGUUCAAGGCCAAAAGUUCGACAAGAAAUAUGCUUCUUUACGAUACUCUGGUAUGACAGAUGCUCUUGUUCAAAUUUCUAAACAAGAAGGCUUCAAAUCACUGUACUGUGGGAUCAGCUCGGCAAUACUGAGGCAGGCUACAUAUGGAACAAUUAAAUUUGGCACAUACUACACGCUUAAACGAGCCGCUACCGAAAAAUGGGGAACAGAUGAUUUAGUGCUUAUAAAUGUUGUGUGUGCAGCGUUAGCAGGAGCUAUUUCAAGCGCAAUCGCUAAUCCAACUGAUGUGGUGAAAGUUCGCAUGCAAGUGACUGGUGUCGAGGGGAAUUUGUCUCUGAGCCGGUGUUUCCGGGAUGUAUACCAACAUGAGGGUGUACGUGGAUUGUGGAGGGGGGUUGGACCAACAGCUCAAAGAGCCGGAGUCAUUGCGGCAGUCGAAUUGCCUAUUUAUGACUUUACAAAGGGCAGGUUGACGCGAAUCGUAGGAGACAGUGUCACUAAUCAUUUUAUGUUCAUUGACAGUGUCGUGCACACCAGAGCACACACACAGAAAGAGAGAGAAAGAGAAAAAAGUGUACAUGGAGGUUGGACCGCAAUAAACAUGACAUGAAAGCAGCGAGUUCGAUCCUCCGUGUCCUAUUUUCACGAUCUUAAAAAAUAAACGAAACAAAAAUCAAAUAAACAAAACAGAACGAAUGUUCACCAGAUGAAUUUAUCUUCAUCUACUUCGCAUAGUCUUCUUGCUCGAGCUUUGUUGCCAGUAUGGGGAGUGCUGUAGCUUCGACUCCGAUUGACGUUGUUCGGGUGAGUUACAAAUUUCAUAAUAAAAAACAAUAUUACUCUGCAACAAGGUCAGAACUUUCCUAUCGGUC